AUAUAAAAUGACUCUCGGCAACGGAUAUCUCGGCUCUUGCAUCGAUGAAGAACGUAGCGAAAUGCGAUACUUGGUGUGAAUUGCAAAAUCCCGUGAACCAUCGAGUCUUUGAACGCAAGUUGCGCCCGAAGCCAUUAGGCCGAGGGCACGCCUGCCUGGGUGUCACAC
RNAcentral lists this ribosomal RNA (168 nucleotides) under Pultenaea daphnoides. Its description in RNAcentral is "5.8S ribosomal RNA". It matches the Rfam family "5.8S ribosomal RNA". Rfam says of the family: 5.8S ribosomal RNA (5.8S rRNA) is a component of the large subunit of the eukaryotic ribosome. Lineage: Eukaryota; Viridiplantae; Streptophyta; Magnoliopsida; Fabales; Fabaceae. The record is from RNAcentral.